Molecule: ribosomal RNA, 457 nt
Filed under: uncultured bacterium
Lineage: Bacteria
Description: bacterial SSU rRNA
Rfam family: Bacterial small subunit ribosomal RNA
Source: RNAcentral
CGAACGCUGGCGGCGUGCUUAACACAUGCAAGUCGAGCGGAAAGGCCCUUCGGGGUACUCGAGCGGCGAACGGGUGAGUAACACGUGAGUAAUCUGCCCCUCACUCAGGGAUAACCACGGGAAGCUGUGGCUAAUACCUGAUAUGACCACGUCUCGCAUGGGGUGUGGUGGAAAGCUUUUGCGGUGGGGGAUGUGCUCGCGGCCUAUCAGCUUGUUGGUGAGGUAGUGGCUCACCAAGGCUUCGACGGGUAGCCGGCCUGAGAGGGUGACCGGCCACACUGGGACUGAGACACGGCCCAGACUCCUACGGGAGGCAGCAGUGGGGAAUAUUGGACAAUGGGCGAAAGCCUGAUCCAGCAACGCCGCGUGAGGGAUGACGGCCUUCGGGUUGUAAACCUCUUUCACCUCUGACGAAGCGCAAGUGACGGUAAGGGGAGAAGAAGGACCGGCCAACUAC